UACAGCCAUAUCACGUUGAAACACCGAUUCGGGUAUGAUCACUGAAUUUAAGCAACGUCGAGCCUGGUCAGUACCUAGAUGGGUGACUGCAUGGGAAUACCAGAUGCUA
Molecule: ribosomal RNA, 109 nt
Filed under: Acanthosepion pharaonis
Lineage: Eukaryota; Metazoa; Mollusca; Cephalopoda; Sepiida; Sepiidae
Source: RNAcentral